Equus quagga is the source of this 688-nucleotide long non-coding RNA. RefSeq lists it as uncharacterized. The record is from RefSeq and is a predicted model, not a curated record. The transcript has 3 exons. Lineage: Eukaryota; Metazoa; Chordata; Mammalia; Perissodactyla; Equidae.
GCCGGGAAUGCAGAGGAGGAAGGAGUGGGAAGGCCGGAAGAGGGGAAAGGAUAGAGAAACGGCAGCAGAGAGACUCCAAGGAGUCAGAGACAAGCGAGACAGAGACACAUGUAGACAGAGAUAGGGACUCAGCGAGAGUGGGAGUGACAGAGAGCCACAGGAAGACACAGCAAGAAAUACAGAGUGACAGAAACAAGCAGAGAGAGGGAGGCACAGGGAGACAGAGACACAGAGAUACGGAGCCAGAGAGAGACGAGACAGCCCCAGAGAGACACAGAGAGAGAUACAGAGACUCAGCCGGAGCCAGAAGGUAUCCUACCAGCCAACCAUUCUCCUUUGCCGCUCAUGCAGCCAUCUGUCCUCCCAUCCUUCACUGGUCCAUCCAUCCACCCACCCAUCCAUCCAUCCAUCCAUCCUCCCAUCCACUUUGGCCUCUAUGAGGAUGGUGCCAUCUGGGUCAGCUCUGCUGGGACCAGGCAUAACUGCCCCGAGAGGCCCCAAGAAAGCAGAGGACCAAAGGUGAAGAGUGUAAAAUAAUUGAGACCAGACACCUCCACGGGGACUGAGAUCGAAGCAGCUGAACCAGCUAUCACCUGCCCCUCUUCAUCGCCGGCUGUGAGACGAUGGCGGCACAGAGCAGGAUAGAAAGUCGGCAGAAUCUGUUUGAGAUGCAGUGACUGGAGAAAAA